Molecule: long non-coding RNA, 458 nt
Filed under: Phoenix dactylifera (date palm)
Lineage: Eukaryota; Viridiplantae; Streptophyta; Magnoliopsida; Arecales; Arecaceae
Description: long non-coding RNA (PDAC_LNC009938)
Source: RNAcentral
AGCAUUAUUCAUCAUUAUGAUAUGUAUGGGUGUGCAAGAAAUAAGUGUGGGGGUGUCUGGAUUUGUGGUAUGGCUAUGACUGGUGAAAUGAAACAUAUUUUCAUUCUCAAAUCGUGAGUUCCAUAGUUGCUAAAAAAAAAAAAAGAGAGAAAAAGUAAUGGAGGAAAUCAUUUUUAAUGUACAAACUGUUUAUGUUCAUAAUUCCUCCUACAAUUCGAAAAAAAAAUAAAGGGAUCUGUUUAUAUGUGAUAUAUACAAAGGUGGAAGUUGUUGUGAAAGAUCGUUCCCUGCUGCAAACGAAAAGUGUUCCUUUUGAACGAUCUUUUUUUCAAUACAGAAGUUUCACAUGGUUUAAAUGCUUUGAAGCCAAAUUGAAGAAGCUGCUGAAUGGAGUGAUUGGUUUUACAUGUCAUAUAUGCUAGCUUGAGUUGAUUCAUUUUUGCUCCACUAGUUUUGAU